GGAAGGUGCGAGCGUUAAUCGGAAUCACUGGGCGUAAAGCGCGCGUAGGCGGCUAGGUAAGUCAGAUGUGAAAGCCCUGGGCUCAACCUGGGAACUGCAUUUGAUACUGCCUGGCUAGAGUGUGGUAGAGGGAAGUGGAAUUCCGCAUGUAGCGGUGAAAUGCGUAGAGAUGCGGAGGAACACCAAUGGCGAAGGCAACUUCCUGGAUCAACACUGACGCUGUGGUGCGAAAGCGUGGGGAGCAAACAGGAUUAGAUACCCUGGUAGUCCCACGCUGUAAACGAUGGGUACUAGCCGUUGGGGGUAGUUUAUCCCUUAGUGGCGCAGCUAACGCGAUAAGUACCCCCCGCCUGGGAGUACGGCCGCAAGGUUA
This 373-nucleotide ribosomal RNA is filed under the name uncultured organism. Its description in RNAcentral is "partial 16S ribosomal RNA". It matches the Rfam family "Bacterial small subunit ribosomal RNA", at positions 527 to 896 of the family's 1533-position model. The record is from RNAcentral.